RNAcentral lists this ribosomal RNA (579 nucleotides) under Saccharomyces cerevisiae (brewer's yeast). RNAcentral's name for it is "partial large subunit ribosomal RNA". It matches the Rfam family "Eukaryotic large subunit ribosomal RNA", at positions 78 to 664 of the family's 3401-position model. The record is from RNAcentral. Lineage: Eukaryota; Fungi; Ascomycota; Saccharomycetes; Saccharomycetales; Saccharomycetaceae.
CCUUUAGUACGGCGAGUGAAGCGGCAAAAGCUCAAAUUUGAAAUCUGGUACCUUCGGUGCCCGAGUUGUAAUUUGGAGAGGGCAACUUUGGGGCCGUUCCUUGUCUAUGUUCCUUGGAACAGGACGUCAUAGAGGGUGAGAAUCCCGUGUGGCGAGGAGUGCGGUUCUUUGUAAAGUGCCUUCGAAGAGUCGAGUUGUUUGGGAAUGCAGCUCUAAGUGGGUGGUAAAUUCCAUCUAAAGCUAAAUAUUGGCGAGAGACCGAUAGCGAACAAGUACAGUGAUGGAAAGAUGAAAAGAACUUUGAAAAGAGAGUGAAAAAGUACGUGAAAUUGUUGAAAGGGAAGGGCAUUUGAUCAGACAUGGUGUUUUGUGCCCUCUGCUCCUUGUGGGUAGGGGAAUCUCGCAUUUCACUGGGCCAGCAUCAGUUUUGGUGGCAGGAUAAAUCCAUAGGAAUGUAGCUUGCCUCGGUAAGUAUUAUAGCCUGUGGGAAUACUGCCAGCUGGGACUGAGGACUGCGACGUAAGUCAAGGAUGCUGGCAUAAUGGUUAUAUGCCGCCCGUCUUGAAAACCGGAAACACA